UACGGGGGGGGCAAGCGUUGUUCGGAAUUACUGGGCGUAAAGGGCUCGUAGGUGGCCAACUAAGUCGGACGUGAAAUCCCUCGGCUUAACCGGGGAACUGCGUCCGAUACUGGAUGGCUUGAGUUUGGGAGAGGGAUGCGGAAUUCCAGGUGUAGCGGUGAAAUGCGUAGAUAUCUGGAGGAACACCGGUGGCGAAGGCGGCAUCCUGGACCAACACUGACGCUCAUGCACGAAAGCGUGGGGAGCAAACAGG
Molecule: ribosomal RNA, 253 nt
Filed under: uncultured bacterium
Lineage: Bacteria
Description: partial 16S ribosomal RNA
Rfam family: Bacterial small subunit ribosomal RNA
Source: RNAcentral